GAUGAACGCUAGCGGCAGGCUUAACACAUGCAAGUCGAGGGGCAGCACGAGGUAGCAAUACUUUGGUGGCGACCGGCGCACGGGUGCGUAACGCGUAUGCAACCUACCUUUAACAGGGGCAUAACACUGAGAAAUUGGUACUAAUUCCCCAUAACAUUCGAGAAGGCAUCUUCUUGGGUUAAAAACUCCGGUGGUUAAAGAUGGGCAUGCGUUGUAUUAGCUAGUUGGUGAGGUAACGGCUCACCAAGGCAACGAUACAUAGGGGGGACUGAGA
RNAcentral lists this ribosomal RNA (274 nucleotides) under uncultured bacterium. Its description in RNAcentral is "partial 16S ribosomal RNA". It matches the Rfam family "Bacterial small subunit ribosomal RNA", at positions 28 to 297 of the family's 1533-position model. The record is from RNAcentral.